ACCAGACUCCUACGGGAGGCAGCAGUGGGGGAUAUUGCACAAUGGGGGGAACCCUGAUGCAGCGACGCCGCGUGGGUGAAGGAGUGCUUCGGCAUGUAAGGCCCUAUCGGCAGGGAAGAAGCAAGACGGUACCUGACUAGGAAGCCCCGGCUAACUACGUGCCAGCAGCCGCGGUAAUACGUAGGGGGCGAGCGUUAUCCGGAUUCACUGGGUGUAAAGGGAGCGUAGGCGGUGCAGCAAGUCAGAAGUGAAAGCCCGGGGCUCAACUCCGGGACUGCUUUUGAAACUGUUGAACUAGAUUGCAGGAGAGGUAAGUGGAAUUCCUAGUGUAGCGGUGAAAUGCGUAGAUAUUAGGAGGAACACCAGUGGCGAAGGCGGCUUACUGGACUGUAAAUGACGCUGAGGCUCGAAAGCGUGGGGAGCAAACAGGAUUAGAUACCCUAGUAGCA
RNAcentral lists this ribosomal RNA (449 nucleotides) under uncultured bacterium. Its description in RNAcentral is "bacterial SSU rRNA". It matches the Rfam family "Bacterial small subunit ribosomal RNA", at positions 330 to 795 of the family's 1533-position model. The record is from RNAcentral.